Long non-coding RNA from Branchiostoma floridae (Florida lancelet), 2073 nucleotides. RefSeq lists it as uncharacterized. NCBI's taxonomy places the organism in Eukaryota, Metazoa, Chordata, Leptocardii, Amphioxiformes, Branchiostomatidae. The record is from RefSeq and is a predicted model, not a curated record. The transcript has 2 exons.
GACAGUUCAGAUGCAGACAAUAGGGAAUAUGGAAACUUUAUUAUCCUCACAGAAGUAAAAAGUACAGGGAACUGAAAAAUUCACAAUAGCACCUCACCCUGGUGAACAGCUUUAUCAUGGUCACUGAAUGAUAUAAAAAUAUCCCCUAUGUCGGAUCCCUCCCUGUUUAAUGUCAGAACAUGUACACUGUACACCCUACUUCAUACCUGUGUUAAUUUCAGCUAUAGUGGCAAAAUUACAUUCAUUCAUUUGUCCUGGACAAAAAACAAUAGAUGCAAAUCUGUGUUUUUGUUCUCUUUGAAGAUCUGCCAACAUCCUUUCCAAAAAUUAUCUCUGUUUGUUAACAAACCGCCUGCAAUUCUAGUUUGUAAUGUUUCUGUAAUUUGUUUCUAUACUUAAUCCCUAUGUCUGAAGACUAGUAGAGUAAGGGUCCACUGUUUUUAUAUAGUGUGCGAGUAGAUGAAGAACACACUCUGUCACAGAGACAAAUUUGAAUAAAUGUAAUUCGGCACAUUCUGUUCACAUUAUUGUAUGGCAUCUUCUCUUAAGGGUUCUAUGCAAAAUUUCACAAAUCAUUGAAAAGUACAUGUGAAUUAAGUCAUGAUUCUAUGCUUGUCAGAAAGCUAUGUAAAUAUAGUCCCGUUGGGCAUUAGCCAUUUCUGAAUUUACCUCCUAACAGUGUGCUGACUUUUAGCACAUUGUGAACUACCUUCUUGAUGUAGCAGUAACAAAACUACUGCAUUACUGCACUGGUAUGCUAGGGUGUACAGGGCCAACUCUUUCUUGUCUAGAGCUUGGUCAGCUGGUUACCAGUAGUUCUCAUGUAUACUUAAUAAGGACACCACACCAUGUAAAAUGGACAUAAGACUACCUACAAUAAAUACAGCCUUACUUAAGAUGGACUAAGGUGACUAGAGGAGUGACAAAUCCAACACUUAAAUCUAUUUUACUACGACUACAGGGACAAGAUGCUCAGUUCUUAUCGGCAAGUGGUAGGCGGAAGGGUAUAAUUCGAAGUGGUCUGUGUAGUGUUGAGGUUGCUGAGAUUCAAACAUAAAAGAAUGGUAAGAAAAGAUUAGAAGCAAAAUUGAGCAUCAUGUCCCACUAUCCUACGUAUAACUUUAAAAACCAAAAGCUCUCUGUAUAAUGUACACCAAUUACAAGACUUCAUCCUUGAUUAUCUAAUUAAACAAAAACUUGAAAUUACAUAGCUAUACCCUGGGUUUUAUGACCCAUCCAGUAAGAAUGUGCCCCAUAAAUAUGAAAUUAUUAUAAUUUCAUGAUGACCAUAAUUUCACAACAUCUACUUUCCAUGUGUAGCAUGACAGGGGUAUCAUACCAUGCCAGUCUCUACAUUUCCUCAAAACGUAUAAAAAAGCCCCCAAAAUUUAAAAGUGUGAUUGCCAAAUUUGCAUCAAGUCAAAAAGAUUCAGUAAAUAACACAAUACUCUGCCAAGGUACUAAAAAAAACUACAAGAGUAAAAAAUAUACCACCCCCAUUACAUGUGUAUAUUUUUGCCAUUUUACCAAAAUAUGAUUAUGCAAUUUCAUACAUACACACAGAAGAGAAAAACAACCCAAAAAAUCUUAAUUAAUCAAAGUUCAAUACAACUUAAAAGCUUGCAUUUGUUAUCUGAAGGGUCUUGGGUGGGAACUUGUAUUGCAAAAUCAGCAGUUACUUCUUCUAUCUUAUGUUACGGAAGACAACGGUUUAUGCAACAUGUUUCACCAGAGAACUUUCUUGCUUUAGGAUAUAAAGAUGAAUAUGUUAUGAUAUACAUGGCUUAUAAGGAAAUUGGUGGUCCCGUAGCUCACAAAGACUGGCUGUGUCUCUAAAAUAGCAAUAUACAGAUGGCUGGAGACUAAACCUCCACGGAGAAAGCAAAGACAUUUUCUGAAGUGAAUGUACAGCUUGGUUCAUCAUUGAGCCCACAGAUGGUCUCGAACAAUGUUUAAUAUUUCACUACCUUUAGACUAAGGCUACUUAUGAGACAGCUGACAAUAGAAAUGUGUUCUGCGCUUGUAGAGAGAUGCCUCAUACCGUUUCUUAAUCUCAAAAGUUCAUCAAAUAAA